GGGGAGUAAGGGGAUGGUCCCCCCGCAGGCUGCAAACCUGUUGGCCUGCCUGUGAACAGGCGGGAGUCCGGUUCGAUUCCGACUACUCCCCUCCA
RNAcentral lists this small RNA (95 nucleotides) under Peptococcaceae bacterium. Its description in RNAcentral is "tRNA-Cys". It matches the Rfam family "Selenocysteine transfer RNA". The record is from RNAcentral. Lineage: Bacteria; Bacillati; Bacillota; Clostridia; Eubacteriales; Peptococcaceae.